Corylus avellana is the source of this 469-nucleotide long non-coding RNA. RefSeq lists it as uncharacterized. Lineage: Eukaryota; Viridiplantae; Streptophyta; Magnoliopsida; Fagales; Betulaceae. The record is from RefSeq and is a predicted model, not a curated record.
CCUUCAAAACACCAAAAUUCCUAACACCCCUCUCACUCACCUCCCUCAUCACUCUCACUCUCGAUCUCUCCCCCGCUGCUCUCCCAACUUUCGUUCCCGCUGCUCUCCCUCCCUCCUAUGAUGGAUCCAAUGGCUUUCAAGCCUGAAAACGCUGCAUUUGGAGCUCUGGUUUUCGAGUGUUCUUGCUUUGUGAGUGGAGUUCGUAAAGAUAGAGAGGAUAAGACCUCUUUGGCCUAUGAACCAGUUAUGGCGAUGAACAAGCAAGCCUCAUUCUCUUGUUAAUCGGGCUUUAGCAAGAGAAUGCAAAGAUGUGAAAAUUGACAGAGUAUAUAUCGGAUCUUGUACAUGAGGAAAAACGGAGGACUUUAUGGCUGCAGCCAAAGUUUUCCUAGCUUCAGUAAGAAACCAUAUAUCUUUGUUGUAUAUGUUGGACAAUUCUUUUGCUCCUAAAUAUAAUGUUCUUUUUUAA